This 254-nucleotide ribosomal RNA is filed under the name uncultured bacterium. Its description in RNAcentral is "partial 16S ribosomal RNA". It matches the Rfam family "Bacterial small subunit ribosomal RNA", at positions 337 to 587 of the family's 1533-position model. The record is from RNAcentral.
GCCUACGGGGCGCAGCAGUGAGGAAUAUUGGUCAAUGGGCGCAAGCCUGAACCAGCCAAGUCGCGUGAGGGAUGACGGUCCUAUGGAUUGUAAACCUCUUUUGUCGGGGAGCAAGGCCCGCCACGUGUGGCGGGAAGGAGAGUACCCGAAGAAAAAGCAUCGGCUAACUCCGUGCCAGCAGCCGCGGUAAUACGGAGGAUGCGAGCGUUAUCCGGAUUUAUUGGGUUUAAAGGGUGCGUAGGCGGGAGGUUAAG